RNAcentral lists this long non-coding RNA (255 nucleotides) under Bos taurus (domestic cattle). RNAcentral describes it as "long non-coding RNA NONBTAT022117". The record is from RNAcentral. Lineage: Eukaryota; Metazoa; Chordata; Mammalia; Artiodactyla; Bovidae.
UUAUAUUGUUGUGGUUUCUUUUACUAAGAACCAUCUCCUAAACAACCUUGGGACCUGUCAAUAACAGUGCUCAUGAGCUAUGUUUCAAGUAGCUAAUCUCUCUUUAGCCCUUUUGCAACAUAGGAAACAUGACUUCAGGUCUAUGGGAAGGCUCUGCCCAACCAGAAUGUGGUCUUUGUGACACUUAUCUUACCAUUGUAAAUUAAGUACAAUUUCUCUUUGUUUCUUUUUUAGGGGACUGGGGGCGGGGCUAGA